Molecule: long non-coding RNA, 1127 nt
Organism: Aplysia californica (California sea hare)
Lineage: Eukaryota; Metazoa; Mollusca; Gastropoda; Aplysiida; Aplysiidae
Exons: 2
Source: RefSeq, a predicted model, not a curated record
AGUUUUACUUUCGGUUUCUUUAAACGUUCACCCUCCUGUCUUGUGUCUACUGCCAGAUUUAUUGCGAUGCAUUUGUGACCACUAAACAAGACUAUACUGUAGUAUGGAUCACAGAAAAGAGUCAACUUCAAACGAGAAGUCUCAGGAAAGCACUUUAGUGGAAUCAUUCCUCCCUUACCAUUAUGAUGAGCUUUCAAAAGCCAGUGAAACGCUCUCUCAAAAGUUGAACUAUAAUUUGAAGAAAAGGUUAGGUUUGACUGCUUCCAUGAAGGAAAACACUAAUCUUACAAAAAAUGUGUGGGAAGGUGUAGAUGGCACAAUGUCUCAUGUAACGAAAAAGUUCCCCAUGCCUGCUGUGGAGACAGAAGGUGAAAGCACAAGUUCUGGAAGCCCUGAGGACCCUCAGGCGGCAACAUCUAAUGGUCUUAAUGCAACAGAGGAUGAUGCUGGAACGUCAAGUAGUGUAGUUAAUGCUCAUGAUAAUCCAAUUAUAGUUUCUGACUCGGACGAAGAGGUCUUGGAGCUGAGUGAGGAUUCUGAUUGUCAAAUUGUGACAACGCCAUCUGAUACAUCCUUGAAACCUGUGACAUUCACAAGCUCAAAAAGUGAUCAAGAAAAAGAGUGCUCUCCCUCGGAGGUUUUAAAAAGAAAUGGCAAUGAUACUGUACCUCAGACCAUUUGUAUUAUUGAAUCACCUCUUUCAACUGGAAAGUGAAACUUUUUCGUAAAUGAAAUUAUUAAGACAUAGGCAGGAUGUAAUAUCUUAUUGUGUUUUUACAUCAUGCCAAAUCACAUGCAACUGUAUAGACAAAGCAAUGACAAGAAUUUUGUUUCAUAUGGGAGAGGCUAUAGUCAAUUGAAAUUCUUGUGUGAACAUCCUGAAAACUGUCUUCAACACAAGGACAAGAGCCAACGCAACAUGAUUUUAGAUAUAUAUAUGAAAAACAUUUUGAUAAUGUGUAUAUAUGUAAUUGAAUACUUUGAGUACAAAAGAUAAGUUCAAAGAUCUUUUUUGAAAUGUGGUUUUGAAGUGAAGAAAGAAGUACUAGAUGACUUUUACUUUUAUGUUAGGUUAAGAUUAGAAAUACAAUGUAGCAUUAUUAUUCACCCUAAAUAACAUCCCCUAA